GCCGGAGUGGUGAAAUUGGUAGACGCGCUGGACUCAAAAUCCAGUGGAACUUUGUUCCGUGCGAGUUCGAUUCUCGCCUCCGGCACCA
RNAcentral lists this transfer RNA (88 nucleotides) under Desulfobacteraceae bacterium. Its description in RNAcentral is "tRNA-Leu". It matches the Rfam family "tRNA". Rfam says of the family: Transfer RNA (tRNA) molecules are approximately 80 nucleotides in length. Their secondary structure includes four short double-helical elements and three loops (D, anti-codon, and T loops). Lineage: Bacteria; Pseudomonadati; Thermodesulfobacteriota; Desulfobacteria; Desulfobacterales; Desulfobacteraceae. The record is from RNAcentral.